This 484-nucleotide ribosomal RNA is filed under the name uncultured bacterium. Its description in RNAcentral is "bacterial SSU rRNA". It matches the Rfam family "Bacterial small subunit ribosomal RNA", at positions 37 to 524 of the family's 1533-position model. The record is from RNAcentral.
UGGCGGCGUGCAUACACAUGCAAGUCGAACGAUGAAACUUAGAUGAUUUCUUCGGAAUGAACUUAAGUGGAUUAGUGGCGAACGGGUGAGUAACACGUGAGUAACCUGCCUUACACAAGGGGAUAGCCUCUGGAAACGGAGAAUAAUACCCUAUAAAGUCUAAUCAGCACAUGCUGGAAAGACCAAAGAUUUAUCGGUGUAAGAUGGACUUGCGUCUGAUUAGCUAGUUGGUGAGAUAAAAGCUCACCAAGGCGACGAUCAGUAGCCGGCUUGAGAGAGUGUACGGCCACAUUGGGACUGAGACACGGCCCAAACUCCUACGGGAGGCAGCAGUGGGGAAUUUUGCACAAUGGGGGAAACCCUGAUGCAGCGACGCCGCGUGAUUUAGAAGGCCUUCGGGUUGUAAAAAUCUUUUUUACGGGAUGAAAAUGACAGUACCGUAAGAAUAAGGUCCGGCUAAAUACGUGCCAGCAGCCGCGGUAAU